CCAUACCCUCCACUUUCGAGGGAAGGACACUCAAGAAAGGCAAAGGAGAGGAACUCGCAGCCACGCUGUAUCAAAGGGUAGAAGCUUGCUCCUAAGUAAGUACGUACACGCACCCGCACAUACAUACACCUAAAAAGCAAAGGACAACACUUUAACACUCGUGUAUAGAGCAUAGAGGCCGCCAUCGGGCGAGGGAACGCUGCAGUUCUCUCUUCCUUUUUUGUUCAGCCUCCAGCCCCACUCCCACGGCAACUGGGCUUCAAUGGGAUUGUGUGGAGCUCACGAGCGCUUCAUCCGGCUCUCAUACCCACAGAAAGCGUACUCAACAUCUUAAUCUGUUCUCAGAAUACUCUGUGCACGGCCAGCUCAACCAAAUGCUCGCAGAACCCAAGUCGUCUGUAAUACGCGGGGAUCGUAAGCACAUCACGUCCAAAUUCACCGAUGGGAGCGAGCUCGUUGAAGAGUACGACGUGGUGACAGAUUCCCUGCUGCUGAGAAAGCGCCGUACCCGCAAUGCCCUUGGCGGCUUUUCUGAGUGGUCUAUAGAGGUUGGCACUGAGGCGCCAUCGCGCAACCUGGAUCGGGCCUUGAUUGCUGAGUCGAGCGGAAGUCCGGUGGUGGUGCGACAGGACACAAAGGAGAGCUACGUGGUGCGAAUCCGAAAUCUCCCGUACCCGAAAGACGUGUUCUCCGUCGCGGUUGAGCGCGAAGAUGGGGACAGCGUCGGCAAGAUCGUAGUGCGCACGUCAAACAGGAAGUACUUCAAGAGGCUUGCCAUCCCUGACCUAGAGCGCGCCCGCAUUCCAUUGGAGAGCGCGCACCUUUCCUACGAUGUGCAGCAUCAGACACUUAUUAUUCAGUACAAGAAGCCUCUGUCAGUGCUGACCGCAGAGGCUGCAGCGCGGAAGGAGCGGGCAUCAAUGCCCUCGAAGCGCGUCGAUGACAGCAGCCCGGACUGCAAGCAGCAGUAAGGACGCACGUCUUUGACCUUUCGCGUUAUUCUUCCUUUGCUCUACCCGCUGUUUCCUUAGGCGGGCAAAGACUCAGUAGUGAAGUGAGGGGCGGUGUGUGUGUGUGUGUGUGGCUCUUUGUGUGUGACGGUGGGAGAGCCAAAGGACAGGGGAGGGAGGACUAGGCCAAGGGCUUGCUGUCUGCAUCUCAAGCUCCUCGUUGUUUCGUGCUCAGAAGAGACUAGUCGAUGUAUGUAAAACUGUGGUGCACAGCAUCAUAUGCAUGCCGCAGUCGUACUCUUUUGCUGGUGUGUGACGCCGCAGCGCUUUCGGUCCUCGCGCGAUCGAGGCGGAGAGGGGGGUGGUGUGGUGUGGGGUGGGUGGGAAGAGGCGCCUUUCUCCCUCUUCCAUUCACUAGUGUGCCUUUUCGUGUCUGCUUCAACACCUCGGUUACACACGCUCACACACACACACACACAUCACGUAAGCACGAACACAAAACAGUAGCAAGCGCCUAUGGAGUGCUACUUGUGUGCACCUCUUCUCUUUAGGCUUGUGCACGCCUUCCGCCGCGCACGCGAGGAGCAACUGCUACCCGAGCAGCUGAAUGCCUCUGUUGUCUGCUUCCGAAA
RNAcentral lists this unclassified non-coding RNA (1582 nucleotides) under Leishmania donovani. Its description in RNAcentral is "gene:LdHU3.28.2960(CDS-product:DPCD_protein_famil y_putative)". Lineage: Eukaryota; Euglenozoa; Kinetoplastea; Trypanosomatida; Trypanosomatidae. The record is from RNAcentral.